GGUUAAGCGACUAAGCGUACACGGUGGAUGCCCUGGCAGUCAGAGGCGAUGAAGGACGUGCUAAUCUGCGAUAAGCGUCGGUGAGGUGAUAUGAACCGUUAUAACCGGCGAUUUCCGAAUGGGGAAACCCAGUGUGAUUCGUCACACUAUCAUUAACUGAAUCCAUAGGUUAAUGAGGCGAACCGGGGGAACUGAAACAUCUAAGUACCCCGAGGAAAAGAAAUCAACCGAGAUUCCCCCAGUAGCGGCGAGCGAACGGGGAGGAGCCCAGAGCCUGAAUCAGUGUGUGUGUUAGUGGAAGCGUCUGGAAAGGCGCGCGAUACAGGGUGACAGCCCCGUACACAAAAAUGCACAUGCUGUGAGCUCGAUGAGUAGGGCGGGACACGUGGUAUCCUGUCUGAAUAUGGGGGGACCAUCCUCCAAGGCUAAAUACUCCUGACUGACCGAUAGUGAACCAGUACCGUGAGGGAAAGGCGAAAAGAACCCCGGCGAGGGGAGUGAAAAAGAACCUGAAACCGUGUACGUACAAGCAGUGGGAGCCUCUUAAUGGGGUGACUGCGUACCUUUUGUAUAAUGGGUCAGCGACUUAUAUUCUGUAGCAAGGUUAACCGAAUAGGGGAGCCGAAGGGAAACCGAGUCUUAACUGGGCGUUAAGUUGCAGGGUAUAGACCCGAAACCCGGUGAUCUAGCCAUGGGCAGGUUGAAGGUUGGGUAACACUAACUGGAGGACCGAACCGACUAAUGUUGAAAAAUUAGCGGAUGACUUGUGGCUGGGGGUGAAAGGCCAAUCAAACCGGGAGAUAGCUGGUUCUCCCCGAAAGCUAUUUAGGUAGCGCCUCGUGAAUUCAUCUCCGGGGGUAGAGCACUGUUUCGGCAAGGGGGUCAUCCCGACUUACCAACCCGAUGCAAACUGCGAAUACCGGAGAAUGUUAUCACGGGAGACACACGGCGGGUGCUAACGUCCGUCGUGAAGAGGGAAACAACCCAGACCGCCAGCUAAGGUCCCAAAGUCAUGGUUAAGUGGGAAACGAUGUGGGAAGGCCCAGACAGCCAGGAUGUUGGCUUAGAAGCAGCCAUCAUUUAAAGAAAGCGUAAUAGCUCACUGGUCGAGUCGGCCUGCGCGGAAGAUGUAACGGGGCUAAACCAUGCACCGAAGCUGCGGCAGCGACACUAUGUGUUGUUGGGUAGGGGAGCGUUCUGUAAGCCUGUGAAGGUGGCCUGUGAGGGUUGCUGGAGGUAUCAGAAGUGCGAAUGCUGACAUAAGUAACGAUAAAGCGGGUGAAAAGCCCGCUCGCCGGAAGACCAAGGGUUCCUGUCCAACGUUAAUCGGGGCAGGGUGAGUCGACCCCUAAGGCGAGGCCGAAAGGCGUAGUCGAUGGGAAACAGGUUAAUAUUCCUGUACUUGGUGUUACUGCGAAGGGGGGACGGAGAAGGCUAUGUUGGCCGGGCGACGGUUGUCCCGGUUUAAGCGUGUAGGCUGGUUUUCCAGGCAAAUCCGGAAAACCAAGGCUGAGGCGUGAUGACGAGGCACUACGGUGCUGAAGUGACAAAUGCCCUGCUUCCAGGAAAAGCCUCUAAGCAUCAGGUAACAUCAAAUCGUACCCCAAACCGACACAGGUGGUCAGGUAGAGAAUACCAAGGCGCUUGAGAGAACUCGGGUGAAGGAACUAGGCAAAAUGGUGCCGUAACUUCGGGAGAAGGCACGCUGAUAUGUAGGUGAAGCGACUUGCUCGUGGAGCUGAAAUCAGUCGAAGAUACCAGCUGGCUGCAACUGUUUAUUAAAAACACAGCACUGUGCAAACACGAAAGUGGACGUAUACGGUGUGACGCCUGCCCGGUGCCGGAAGGUUAAUUGAUGGGGUUAGCGGUAACGCGAAGCUCUUGAUCGAAGCCCCGGUAAACGGCGGCCGUAACUAUAACGGUCCUAAGGUAGCGAAAUUCCUUGUCGGGUAAGUUCCGACCUGCACGAAUGGCGUAAUGAUGGCCAGGCUGUCUCCACCCGAGACUCAGUGAAAUUGAACUCGCUGUGAAGAUGCAGUGUACCCGCGGCAAGACGGAAAGACCCCGUGAACCUUUACUAUAGCUUGACACUGAACAUUGAGCCUUGAUGUGUAGGAUAGGUGGGAGGCUUUGAAGUGUGGACGCCAGUCUGCAUGGAGCCGACCUUGAAAUACCACCCUUUAAUGUUUGAUGUUCUAACGUUGGCCCCUAAUCGGGGUUGCGGACAGUGUCUGGUGGGUAGUUUGACUGGGGCGGUCUCCUCCUAAAGAGUAACGGAGGAGCACGAAGGUUGGCUAAUCCUGGUCGGACAUCAGGAGGUUAGUGCAAUGGCAUAAGCCAGCUUGACUGCGAGCGUGACGGCGCGAGCAGGUGCGAAAGCAGGUCAUAGUGAUCCGGUGGUUCUGAAUGGAAGGGCCAUCGCUCAACGGAUAAAAGGUACUCCGGGGAUAACAGGCUGAUACCGCCCAAGAGUUCAUAUCGACGGCGGUGUUUGGCACCUCGAUGUCGGCUCAUCACAUCCUGGGGCUGAAGUAGGUCCCAAGGGUAUGGCUGUUCGCCAUUUAAAGUGGUACGCGAGCUGGGUUUAGAACGUCGUGAGACAGUUCGGUCCCUAUCUGCCGUGGGCGCUGGAGAACUGAGGGGGGCUGCUCCUAGUACGAGAGGACCGGAGUGGACGCAUCACUGGUGUUCGGGUUGUCAUGCCAAUGGCACUGCCCGGUAGCUAAAUGCGGAAGAGAUAAGUGCUGAAAGCAUCUAAGCACGAAACUUGCCCCGAGAUGAGUUCUCCCUGAGACUUAGAGUCUCCUGAAGGAACGUUGAAGACGACGACGUUGAUAGGCCGGGUGUGUAAGCGCAGCGAUGCGUUGAGCUAACCGGUACUAAUGAACCGUGAGGCUUAACCUU
RNAcentral lists this ribosomal RNA (2904 nucleotides) under Escherichia coli. RNAcentral's name for it is "23S ribosomal RNA". It matches the Rfam family "Bacterial large subunit ribosomal RNA". Lineage: Bacteria; Pseudomonadati; Pseudomonadota; Gammaproteobacteria; Enterobacterales; Enterobacteriaceae. The record is from RNAcentral. RNAcentral also lists the same sequence under 1 other name.